This 759-nucleotide ribosomal RNA is filed under the name Bacteroidota bacterium. Its description in RNAcentral is "bacterial SSU rRNA". It matches the Rfam family "Bacterial small subunit ribosomal RNA", at positions 1 to 767 of the family's 1533-position model. Lineage: Bacteria; Pseudomonadati; Bacteroidota. The record is from RNAcentral.
ACAACGGAGAGUUUGAUCCUGGCUCAGGAUGAACGCUAGCGGCAGGCUUAAUACAUGCAAGUCGAGGGAGAAUUCGCCUUCGGGCGGAGGGAACCGGCGAACGGGUGCGUAACGCGUACACAAUCUACCUCUGAGUGGGGAAUAGUAUCGGGAAACUGAUAGUAAUACCCCAUAAAAUUAUGUUGAGGCAUCUUGAUAUAAUCAAAGGCAAGACUGCUCAGAGAUGGGUGUGCGUCUGAUUAGGUAGUUGGAGAGGUAAUGGCUCACCAAGCCGACGAUCAGUAGCGGGCGUGAGAGCGCGAACCGCCACACGGGCACUGAGACACGGGCCCGACUCCUACGGGAGGCAGCAGUAAGGAAUAUUGGGCAAUGGAGGGAACUCUGACCCAGCCAUGCCGCGUGCAGGAAGAAGGUUCUAUGGAUUGUAAACUGCUUUUCUGCGGGAAGAACCGCCUGUAUUGAUACGGGUCUGACGGUACCGCAGGAAUAAGCACCGGCUAACUCCGUNNNNNNNNNNCGGAGGGUGCAAGCGUUAUCCGGAUUUACUGGGUUUAAAGGGUGCGUAGGUGGUGGGAUAAGUUAGUGGUGAAAGCUUACAGCUCAACUGUAAAAUCGCCAAUAAUACUGUUUCACUUGAAUUCGUUCGAGGCUGGCGGAAUGUGACGUGUAGCGGUGAAAUGCAUAGAUAUGUCACAGAACACCGAUUGCGAAGGCAGCUGGCUAGGACGAGAUUGACGCUGAAGCACGAAAGCGUGGGUA